RNAcentral lists this small RNA (572 nucleotides) under Pongo abelii (Sumatran orangutan). RNAcentral describes it as "processed transcript". Lineage: Eukaryota; Metazoa; Chordata; Mammalia; Primates; Hominidae. The record is from RNAcentral.
UUUUCUGGAUGCCAUGAAAUGAGAUAUAUUUCACCCACUGAAGACCACCAUUAAGGCAUUCAGGAUUCUAUGUACUGGACUCCUAAUUUGGUGGUAUUUCCUACUGUGGAAUUUAAGAGGGAUAAUCUUAAAACUUUUGUAUGGAAACAGUUUAUUUGAACAUAAAGCUGGUUUCCUGUUAAUAUUUUUGUUUUGUCAGCUUUCAAUGAGUAUAUGUGUUAAAAUGAUUCAGGUUAGCGUUUUUAGGAGGAGGCAAAUGUAUUUUGCAGUUUCCUUUUGUGUAUUUGCAAGUGGUGCAAAUACCUAUCUUUGCUUCCAUUAUUAUUCUGAAAAAUAUUAGGGUGUUGGUGCCAGAAGAAAAGAAUGAUUGAUGGGAAACAGACACCGGGCUAUAGACACUCAUCCUUUUGCUUCAGAUACUGAUAUCUCAGCCUGCCUGAGCAUCCCUUGUGAGCUGUGAACAUUGAGGAUCACUCAGGGUUAUCGGAUGUACAACGGGAGAGCCACCACUUUGCUAAAUUAUUAUCUGCAGUUGGACAUCUUUUACAAAAACCAAACUAGACCUGAGUCUA